Molecule: ribosomal RNA, 481 nt
Filed under: uncultured bacterium
Lineage: Bacteria
Description: partial 16S ribosomal RNA
Rfam family: Bacterial small subunit ribosomal RNA
Source: RNAcentral
GAUGAACGCUGGCGGCGUGCUUAACACAUGCAAGUCGAACGAAGCAUUUGCGACAGAUUUUUUCGGAAUGAAGUUGCUUAUGACUGAGUGGCGGACGGGUGAGUAACGCGUGGGUAACCUGCCUUGUACUGGGGGAUAGCAGCUGGAAACGGCUGGUAAUACCGCAUAAGCGCACAAUGUUGCAUGACAUGGUGUGAAAAACUCCGGUGGUAUAAGAUGGACCCGCGUCUGAUUAGCUAGUUGGUGAGAUAACAGCCCACCAAGGCGACGAUCAGUAGCCGACCUGAGAGGGUGACCGGCCACAUUGGGACUGAGACACGGCCCAGAAUCCUACGGGAGGCAGCAGUGGGGAAUAUUGCACAAUGGAGGAAACUCUGAUGCAGCGACGCCGCGUGAGUGAAGAAGUAAUUCGUUAUGUAAAGCUCUAUCAGCAGGGAAGAUAGUGACGGUACCUGACUAAGAAGCUCCGGCUAAAUACGUG